This 253-nucleotide ribosomal RNA is filed under the name uncultured bacterium. Its description in RNAcentral is "partial 16S ribosomal RNA". It matches the Rfam family "Bacterial small subunit ribosomal RNA", at positions 524 to 776 of the family's 1533-position model. The record is from RNAcentral.
UACGUAGGUGGCUGGCGUUGUCCGGAUUUACUGGGCGUAAAGCGCGCGCAGGCGGUCGUUCAAGUCGAGUGUGAAAGCCCCCGGCUCAACUGGGGAGGGUCACUCGAUACUGAUCGACUUGAAGGCAGAAGAGGGAAGCGGAAUUCCCGGUGUAGUGGUGAAAUGCGUAGAUAUCGGGAGGAACACCAGUGGCGAAGGCGGCUUUCUGGUCUGUUCUUGACGCUGAGGCGCGAAAGCUAGGGUAGCAAACGGG